Molecule: ribosomal RNA, 690 nt
Filed under: uncultured bacterium
Lineage: Bacteria
Description: bacterial SSU rRNA
Rfam family: Bacterial small subunit ribosomal RNA
Source: RNAcentral
GGUGAGUAACACGUAUCCAACCUGCCUCAUACUCGGGGAUAGCCUUUCGAAAGAAAGAUUAAUACCCGAUGUCAUAGUCCUACCGCAUGAUGGGAUUAUUAAAGAAUUUCGGUAUGGGAUGGGGAUGCGUUCCAUUAGUUAGUUGGCGGGGUAACGGCCCACCAAGACGACGAUGGAUAGGGGUUCUGAGAGGAAGGUCCCCCACAUUGGAACUGAGACACGGUCCAAACUCCUACGGGAGGCAGCAGUGAGGAAUAUUGGUCAAUGGACGAGAGUCUGAACCAGCCAAGUAGCGUGAAGGAUGACUGCCCUAUGGGUUGUAAACUUCUUUUAUAUGGGAAUAAAAUGUUCCACGUGUGGGAUUUUGUAUGUACCAUAUGAAUAAGGAUCGGCUAACUCCGUGCCAGCAGCCGCGGUAAUACGGAGGAUCCGAGCGUUAUCCGGAUUUAUUGGGUUUAAAGGGAGCGUAGGUGGAUUGUUAAGUCAGUUGUGAAAGUUUGCGGCUCAACCGUAAAAUUGCAGUUGAAACUGGCAGUCUUGAGUACAGUAGAGGUGGGCGGAAUUCGUGGUGUAGCGGUGAAAUGCUUAGAUAUCACGAAGAACUCCGAUUGCGAAGGCAGCUCACUGGACUGCAACUGACACUGAGGCUCGAAAGUGUGGGUAUCAAACAGGAUUAGAUACCCUGGUAGU